CCUACGGACGGCUGCAGUGGGGAAUAUUGGACAAUGGGGGCAACCCUGAUCCAGCCAUGCCGCGUGUGUGAAGAAGGCCCUCGGGUUGUAAAGCACUUUCAGUGAGGAAGAACGCCUGGUGGUUAAUACCCAUCAGGAAAGACAUCACUCACAGAAGAAGCACCGGCUAACUCCGUGCCAGCAGCCGCGGUAAUACGGAGGGUGCGAGCGUUAAUCGGAAUUACUGGGCGUAAAGCGCGCGUAGGUGGCUUGAUAAGCCGGUUGUGAAAGCCCCGGGCUCAACCUGGGAACGGCAUCCGGAACUGUCCAGCUAGAGUGCAGGAGAGGAAGGUAGAAUUCCCGGUGUAGCGGUGAAAUGCGUAGAGAUCGGGAGGAAUACCAGUGGCGAAGGCGGCCUUCUGGACUGACACUGACACUGAGGUGCGAAAGCGUGGGUAGCAAACAGGAUUAGAUACCCCAGUAGUC
RNAcentral lists this ribosomal RNA (465 nucleotides) under Vreelandella stevensii. RNAcentral describes it as "partial 16S ribosomal RNA". It matches the Rfam family "Bacterial small subunit ribosomal RNA", at positions 338 to 795 of the family's 1533-position model. The record is from RNAcentral. Lineage: Bacteria; Pseudomonadati; Pseudomonadota; Gammaproteobacteria; Oceanospirillales; Halomonadaceae.